This 497-nucleotide ribosomal RNA is filed under the name uncultured bacterium. RNAcentral's name for it is "partial 16S ribosomal RNA". It matches the Rfam family "Bacterial small subunit ribosomal RNA", at positions 28 to 507 of the family's 1533-position model. The record is from RNAcentral.
GAUGAACGCUGGCGGCGUGCCUAAUACAUGCAAGUCGAGCGAACGGACGAGAAGCUUGCUCCUCUGAUGUUAGCGGCGGACGGACGAGUAACACGUGGAUAACCUACCUAUAAUACUGGGAUAACUUCGGGAAACCGUAGCUAAUACCGCAUCAUAUUUUGUACCGCAUGGUUCAAAAGUGAAAGACGGUCUUGCUGUCACUUAGAGAUGGAUCCGCGUUGCAUUAGCUAGUUGGUAAGGUAACGGCUCACCAAGGCAACGAUGCAUAGCCGACCUGAGAGGGUGAUCGGCCACACUGGAACUGAGACACGGUCCAGACUCCUACGGGAGGCAGCAGUAGGGAAUAUUCGACAAUGGGCGUAAGCCUGAUGCAGCAAUGCCGCGUGAGUGAUGAAGGUCUUCGGAUCGUAAAACCCUGUUAUUAGGGAAGAACAUCUGUGUAUGAAACCGUGGACAUCUUGACGGUACCUAAUGAGAAAGCACCGGCUAACUACGUG